AGUUGACGCUGGACCAAUCCUCCCGGUCUUGCGUCAGCUGUUCCCCUCUGGAGGUUUUGACCUUCACACCUUAAGGGCCGCGGCUUCCGCUGGCCCUUUUCU
This 102-nucleotide small RNA is filed under the name Agrobacterium albertimagni AOL15. Its description in RNAcentral is "Alphaproteobacterial ar15". It matches the Rfam family "Alphaproteobacterial ar15". Lineage: Bacteria; Pseudomonadati; Pseudomonadota; Alphaproteobacteria; Hyphomicrobiales; Rhizobiaceae. The record is from Rfam by way of RNAcentral.